Molecule: ribosomal RNA, 489 nt
Filed under: Triticum aestivum (bread wheat)
Lineage: Eukaryota; Viridiplantae; Streptophyta; Magnoliopsida; Poales; Poaceae
Description: partial small subunit ribosomal RNA
Source: RNAcentral
AUGUAUGUGUCCUGCAAGCAGCAGCACCCGGUUGUUGAUGGUGGCGUUCGGCGCCAAGAUGAAGAACCUCGGCGUGCCUACCUUUGGGCGGGUUGUGAUAAGGUGACCGGCGGAAAGUGCAAGGUUAACUGGGACCUCGUCUGCAAGCCCAAGAUCUAUGGUGGACUAGGAGUGCUCAACCUCCAGAAGUUUGCGACCGCGCUACGCUUGCGUUGGCUCUGGUACGAAUGGGUUGAUCCACCUAAGACUUGGUCUGGCUCAGGAACGCCUUGUACUAGCAACGACAAAGAUUUCUUCGCCGCUGCCACACGGGUGUACAUCGGAGAUGGAAACAAAGCUAAGUUCUGGGAAUCUCCAUGGCUGGAUGGCCUCCGGCCUAAAGACAUUGCGCCAAAGAUUUUUGAGUUGUCAAAAAAGAAAACAUGCCUGGUCAGGAAAGCUCUUGACAAUAACCUUUGGAUCCACCAGAUUGACACUCAGCAUGGCUAA